UCGAGAAUUUUUGACAAUGGGGGAAACCCUGAUCGAGCGACGCCGCGUGGAGGAUGAAGGUCUUCGGGUUGUAAACUCCUGUCAUUUGGGAACAAGGCGCGUGUAUUAACUGUGCACGCGUUGAUAGUACCAGAAGAGGAAGAGACGGCUAACUCUGUGCCAGCAGCCGCGGUAAUACAGAGGUCUCAAGCGUUGUUCGGAUUCAUUGGGCGUAAAGGGUGUGUAGGUGGCGCGCUAAGUCGGGUGUGAAAUUUCGGAGCUUAACUCCGAAACUGCAUUCGAUACUGGCGUGCUUGAGGACUGGAGAGGAGACUGGAAUUUACGGUGUAGCAGUGAAAUGCGUAGAUAUCGUAAGGAAGACCAGUGGCGAAGGCGGGUCUCUGGACAGUUCCUGACACUGAGACACGAAGGCCAGGGGAGCAAACGGGAUUAGAUACCCCCGUAGUCC
Molecule: ribosomal RNA, 448 nt
Filed under: uncultured bacterium
Lineage: Bacteria
Description: bacterial SSU rRNA
Rfam family: Bacterial small subunit ribosomal RNA
Source: RNAcentral